This is a long non-coding RNA of Oncorhynchus keta (chum salmon), 3371 nucleotides long. RefSeq lists it as uncharacterized. The record is from RefSeq and is a predicted model, not a curated record. NCBI's taxonomy places the organism in Eukaryota, Metazoa, Chordata, Actinopteri, Salmoniformes, Salmonidae. The transcript is spliced from 14 exons.
AUGACUACUAGUUCAGCUGUGUAGGUGGAGGGAUGACUACCAGUUCAGCUGUGUAGGUGGAGGGAUGACUACUAGUUCAGCUGUGUAGGUGGAGGGAUGACUACUAGUUCAGCUGUGUAGGUAGAGGGAUGACUACUAGUUCAGCUGUGUAGGUGGAGGGAUGACUACUAGUUCAGCUGUGUAGGUGGAGGGAUGACUACUAGUUCAGCUGUGUAGGUGGAGGGAUGACUACUAGUUCAGCUGUGUAGGUGGAGGGAUGACUACUAGUUCAGCUGUGUAGGUGGAGGGAUGACUACUAGUUCAGCUGUGUAGGUAGAGGGAUGACUACUAGUUCAGCUGUGUAGGUGGAGGGAUGACUACUAGUUCAGCUGUGUAGGUAGAGGGAUGACUACUAGUUCAGCUGUGUAGGUGGAGGGAUGACUACUAGUUCAGCUGUGUAGGUGGAGGGAUGACUACUAGUUCAGCUGUGUAGAUGGAGGGAUGACUACUAGUUCAGCUGUGUAGGUGGAGGGAUGACUACUAGUUCAGCUGUGUAGGUAGAGGGAUGACUACUAGUUCAGCUGUGUAGGUGGAGGGAUGACUACUAGUUCAGCUGUGUAGGUAGAGGGAUGACUACUAGUUCAGCUGUGUAGGUGGAGGGAUGACUACUAGUUCAGCUGUGUAGGUGGAGGGAUGACUACCAGUUCAGCUGUCUUAGUGGAGGGAUGACUACUAGUUCAGCUGUGUAGGUGGAGGGAUGACUACUAGUUCAGCUGUGUAGGUGGAGGGAUGACUACUAGUUCAGCUGUCUUAGUGGAGGGAUGACUACCAGUUCAGCUGUGUAGGUGGAGGGAUGACUACCAGUUCAGCUGUGUAGGUGGAGGGAUGACUACUAGUUCAGCUGUGUAGGUGGAGGGAUGACUACUAGUUCAGCUGUGUAGGUGGAGGGAUGACUACUAGUUCAGCUGUGUAGGUGGAGGGAUGACUACUAGUUCAGCUGUGUAGGUGGAGGGAUGACUACUAGUUCAGCUGUGUAGGUGGAGGGAUGACUACUAGUUCAGCUGUGUAGGUGGAGGGAUGACUACCAGUUCAGCUGUGUAGGUGGAGGGAUGACUACUAGUUCAGCUGUCUUAGUGGAGGGAUGACUACUAGUUCAGCUGUGUAGGUGGAGGGAUGACUACCAGUUCAGCUGUCUUAGUGGAGGGAUGACUACUAGUUCAGCUGUGUAGGUGGAGGGAUGACUACUAGUUCAGCUGUGUAGGUGGAGGGAUGACUACCAGUUCAGCUGUGUAGGUGGAGGGAUGACUACUAGUUCAGCUGUGUAGGUGGAGGGAUGACUACUAGUUCAGCUGUGUAGGUAGAGGGAUGACUACUAGUUCAGCUGUGUAGGUGGAGGGAUGACUACUAGUUCAGCUGUGUAGGUAGAGGGAUGACUACUAGUUCAGCUGUGUAGGUGGAGGGAUGACUACUAGUUCAGCUGUGUAGGUGGAGGGAUGACUACUAGUUCAGCUGUGUAGGUGGAGGGAUGACUACUAGUUCAGCUGUGUAGGUGGAGGGAUGACUACUAGUUCAGCUGUGUAGGUGGAGGGAUGACUACUAGUUCAGCUGUGUAGGUGGAGGGAUGACUACUAGUUCAGCUGUGUAGGUGGAGGGAUGACUACUAGUUCAGCUGUGUAGGUAGAGGGAUGACUACUAGUUCAGCUGUGUAGGUAGAGGGAUGACUACUAGUUCAGCUGUGUAGGUGGAGGGAUGACUACUAGUUCAGCAGUGUAGGUGGAGGGAUGACUACUAGUUCAGCUGUGUAGGUGGAGGGAUGACUACUAGUUCAGCUGUGUAGGUGGAGGGAUGACUACUAGUUCAGCUGUGUAGGUGGAGGGAUGACUACCAGUUCAGCUGUGUAGGUAGAGGGAUGACUACCAGUUCAGCUGUGUAGGUGGAGGGAUGACUACCAGUUCAGCUGUGUAGGUGGAGGGAUGACUACUAGUUCAGCUGUGUAGGUGGAGGGAUGACUACUAGUUCAGCUGUCUAGGUGGAGGGAUGACUACCAGUUCAGCUGUGUAGGUGGAGGGAUGACUACUAGUUCAGCUGUGUAGGUGGAGGGAUGACUACUAGUUCAGCUGUGUAGGUGGAGGGAUGACUACUAGUUCAGCUGUCUAGGUGGAGGGAUGACUACCAGUUCAGCUGUGUAGGUGGAGGGAUGACUACUAGUUCAGCUGUGUAGGUGGAGGGAUGACUACUAGUUCAGCUGUGUAGGUGGAGGGAUGACUACUAGUUCAGCUGUGUAGGUGGAGGGAUGACUACUAGUUCAGCUGUGUAGGUGGAGGGAUGACUACCAGUUCAGCUGUGUAGGUGGAGGGAUGACUACUAGUUCAGCUGUGUAGGUAGAGGGAUGACUACUAGUUCAGCUGUGUAGGUGGAGGGAUGACUACUAGUUCAGCUGUGUAGGUGGAGGGAUGACUACUAGUUCAGCUGUGUAGAUGGAGGGAUGACUACUAGUUCAGCUGUGUAGGUGGAGGGAUGACUACUAGUUCAGCUGUGUAGGUGGAGGGAUGACUACUAGUUCAGCUGUGUAGGUGGAGGGAUGACUACUAGUUCAGCUGUGUAGGUAGAGGGAUGACUACUAGUUCAGCUGUGUAGGUAGAGGGAUGACUACUAGUUCAGCUGUGUAGGUAGAGGGAUGACUACUAGUUCAGCUGUGUAGGUGGAGGGAUGACUACUAGUUCAGCUGUGUAGGUAGAGGGAUGACUACUAGUUCAGCUGUGUAGGUGGAGGGAUGACUACCAGUUCAGCUGUGUAGGUGGAGGGAUGACUACUAGUUCAGCUGUGUAGGUGGAGGGAUGACUACUAGUUCAGCUGUGUAGGUAGAGGGAUGACUACUAGUUCAGCUGUGUAGGUGAAGGGAUGACUACUAGUUCAGCUGUGUAGGUGAAGGGAUGACUACUAGUUCAGCUGUGUAGGUAGAGGGAUGACUACUAGUUCAGCUGUGUAGGUGAAGGGAUGACUACUAGUUCAGCUGUGUAGGUGGAGGGAUGACUACUAGUUCAGCUGUGUAGGUGGAGGGAUGACUACCAGUUCAGCUGUCUAGGUGGAGGGAUGACUACUAGUUCAGCUGUGUAGGUAGAGGGAUGACUACUAGUUCAGCUGUGUAGGUAGAGGGAUGACUACCAGUUCAGCUGUGUAGGUAGAGGGAUGACUACUAGUUCAGCUGUGUAGAUGGAGGGAUGACUACUAGUUCAGCUGUGUAGGUAGAGGGAUGACUACUAGUUCAGCUGUGUAGGUAGAGGGAUGACUACUAGUUCAGCUGUGUAGGUAGAGGGAUGACUACUAGUUCAGCUGUGUAGGUAGAGGGAUGACUACUAGUUCAGCUGUGUAGGUAGAGGGAUGACUACCAG